RNAcentral lists this non-coding RNA (114 nucleotides) under Scrippsiella trochoidea. Lineage: Eukaryota; Dinophyceae; Peridiniales; Peridiniaceae. The record is from RNAcentral.
AGAGGUUCCCGAUACGAGCCCGGUGAGAAGAUGCAUGUGUUCCAGCCGAAGGCGCGAACACGAGCGUCGACCCUUCAGGAGAACAUGAGGCUGGCUGUUCAGAGCAACGACCUG